GAGGAAACAAGGAUAUGAUCUUAGCUGUCUUAAUCCUUUCCAAAAAAGCAAAGAUAUCUUGUUAGAAAAGUCUAAUCUAUUUUUCCUAAUGGAAAAAUCAAGUGAGAUGCUUGUUAAGACGUUUGAUAACUAGACUUCUCCUUUAAUACUUUUUUAUCCUUGGUGAUAAUUUGCUAAAACUCUUCUGAAGACAAAAGUAACCUCUGAACACAUCAAAGACUUUCAGGCUGCAGUCUUGUCGGUUCCAGGUGUACUUUUUUGUGGGCUGUACAAAUUAGAGAGACUCUUGCGUACUAAUAGACUGCCUUUCAUCAAGUAGAUAAUAGCACUUUAUUAUUGAGCACACUUUAUUGCAGGAGUCAGAGACAGCAUUUCUAUUGAGCUUGCUUUAGAUUUCAGUAAGAGAGUAAGGAAGAAAUGCAUAGCCACAUCUUUCCCUGCAUGAUCAAGCAAGGUACUAUGUAUGUAAGUUUUUAAAGAUGAGAAGAUGAUGGAUUUAGGUGCUUUGGAGGGGGAGGGAAGAAAGGAGAGGUCACUUCAGAACUGUGAUCCUGAGCAACAGAGUCGAUUGCAUGGGGCUGUGCAUUACAGGUUGUCUUGUAGGUGCUGUAGUAAAACUCUAGACUCAAAUGCAGGCUGGGUGGGAUUAAAAACUUCAUGAUUGUGCUAGCAGGCUUGGAUGUAUCUUCAGGAUUUUGCUGCCUUGGGGAUCAUACUCAAAAGUCGUGAAGAGCUAGAGGCUGCAUUUUUCUCAAUAGACUUACUUUUCUUGUUCAGUUGACACUGGUGGCAGCUACAGAAAAACAAUACAUUAAAUGUAACUAUUUGAUCUUAAGGCCUGCUAAGUAAUUCUACUGAGCAAUUUCUAUCUUGGAGGUUGUGCUUGGCAUAGAACUGAUCUUCACAGAAAACACUGGUGUACUUUAUGGAGCUGAAACAUGAGAGCUGCUGGUAAAAAUGCUCCCUCUUCCCUCAGGAGACAAAGAACCGGUCAUCUGUCUCCAGGUUGAGUUUUCUGGCUCAACUCACUCCUAAUUGCUCUUUGAACAGUUCUUCACCACUGUCUUGUCCCUCAGACAUUUAGCUCUGAUGCAAGUCUGCCUGGUGGGUCUCACGUUCACGUCAUAGCAUUAAGUUCAGCUUCACAGCAUCCUUUCUUACCUGAGGCGAGCAGUUUGUUUAGGUGGGGCAAGCCAAACUUCAUCAACUGCCACCUCCAAAGGUUGAUGUUAAGACUUAAUUCUUGGGCAGAUAAACAGUCAUUAGCUCAACAAGUCUGAAGAAAUUACUUCAGCACAGCUGGAUGGAGCGGACUGGAUAUGGUACCAAUACUUCCCUUUUAUUUUUCCUCCUGCAGGCUCGGGUGGUUUGUUGGCUUUUGUUUUACAGAUUUUUGCAGAAAGAGAUUUGCACAAGUGCUUGUUUCCUCUUACAGAAUAGAGAGCACGAAAGAGUAGCAUAUGCUUCCUGCAGAGUUCAUGCUUAAGUGACAAGGGGAGAAAAAGUUGUGUGUUUGUUACAGAGGAAAAUGGAAAUGGGCGAAAAAGGCAGCAUAGAUCCAAAAGGCUUGUUGGUAACCUCCUGGCAACUAGUGCAGAGUUCCACGUCUUGUUCCAUGUCUUGUCCUAAAGUCCUCAGGUUCGGUCUGUAUGUGACAUUAUGUCUCGGCUUUGUGACCUCACCAAGUAAUUUGUGUUGGUGCUGAAAGACAACAUACCCUAUUUUUCUGAGUCGAAGGGCAUUGUGGUGUAUGGUACUUCUUUUUUUUUCCUCUCCUCCUUGCGUCUUCAGAAAAAGGAGCUGGUAGGAUAGUUCAGUAAUGCCAGAGGAAGAUCUUCAUGCUGGCUUCUUGUGGUUUUCUUGUGUGCUGAGUCUGUCUGUCCUUAGAAAUCAGACAUGUAAGGAGAGAUUUUUGGGGUAAGAAUUCUCUAUAGCCUAAUGUUCAGGCUGCAAUAAAGGCUACUAACGUUGUAGCAAAAACUUUUAUUUGAUGAAACUGCAGCUCACAAGUAACAGCCCGUUGGCUUAACACUGAUUUGAAAAUUGAGGCAGAAAUGGCUGUUUCUUGAAAAUGUUGAAUUGAGCAGUGGUUUUACUGCAAGACAGAACCUAGAUUUAAUUUGAUCUGACUUGGAUAGGUAACAAUAUCAAAUGAACAAUACCCUCUUUGUUGAUAGAGAGGGAAUGACUAGCUUUAUUUUGCUUUGUGGUGCGACAUACCUGACAUGAAGAUGCAGGCUGCAAGGUAACCUUUUCUGAAUGUUGCUCCAAAUCUUUAAUUAGCUCUGGAUGUAAUAUUUUAGAAGUUUGGAGACCAAAUUAACAGCUGCUUCAUUAUAAAUCAAACCUAUGCUUGAGUAGCAUGUGAAAAUAUUCUGAAGAUUUUCAGGCUACAGUGCAGGCUCUUCAUCUUACUUCUGCUUUACUUUUGCUGCCUUCAAGUAGCAUGCUGUAUUGUGCUAGACAUACCUAGCA
This is a long non-coding RNA of Strigops habroptila (Kakapo), 2475 nucleotides long. Lineage: Eukaryota; Metazoa; Chordata; Aves; Psittaciformes; Psittacidae. The record is from Ensembl.